Long non-coding RNA from Siniperca chuatsi (mandarin fish), 757 nucleotides. RefSeq lists it as uncharacterized. Lineage: Eukaryota; Metazoa; Chordata; Actinopteri; Centrarchiformes; Sinipercidae. The record is from RefSeq and is a predicted model, not a curated record. The transcript has 2 exons.
UUGAGGAGAGACACAGAAAACAGAGAGCAAACACGGAGGCAAAGAUAAAUGAGCCAUAUUGAUUUAUUCCCCACUGACUGGAUUUAAAUUCACAUCUAAAGCAGUUUUAACUUCACAAGACAAAAUAAUAAAGUUAGAGAACAUUUUUGGACAGGGUCACAUGCACUUUCAUCCAUUCAUUUUUGGAUUUUCUGUAUCUGGGUAUAAUGUCCACACUGAAUAAUCUAUAAUCAAAUAUAUAUGAUUAUAGAUUCUGUAAUGCUAUUUUAUACUGAAUGUUUAUGGCAAACAUUUAAACUGCCACACAAUUUGCAGCAGCAUGUCCCAAACUCAUAUUUAGCACUUAUAUCAAAAACACUCAAACUAUGAGUAAGUGUCAAACAUGACUUGAAUUAAAAGCCAUUUUGUGGUAACAGAAACUUAAUAAAGUGAGGCCAGUUUAAUUAUGGGACUCCAUGAAGGCGAGAGAUGGAAACAAGGAAUUGUUGGGAAAUAAUACAUAUGAGUGCAGGAAAACCUGCUAAUCUUCUAUAUAAAUUAGUAGGAGGUAGAAAAUGUAUCAAAAAGCCUUCCCACGCUCAGUCCCACCCUACAUACUAAACCAUCACUGUGGUAACAUGUUUAGGGGACAAGGUCCCUCUGGCCGUGCACCUGGCUGGGUGUCACUCUGUAUUUGUGUGGGUGUGUGUGUGUGUGUGUUUGUGUGUGUGUGUGUGUGUGUGUGUGUGUGUGUGUGUGUGUGUUUUCAGUCUGAGAC